RNAcentral lists this transfer RNA (54 nucleotides) under Lissoclinum patella. Its description in RNAcentral is "tRNA-Gln". The record is from RNAcentral. Lineage: Eukaryota; Metazoa; Chordata; Ascidiacea; Aplousobranchia; Didemnidae.
UUACUCUAAAAAUUUCUAAUUCAGAAUAUGAAAUAAAUUUUUAUUAAAAUGGUA